This 253-nucleotide ribosomal RNA is filed under the name uncultured bacterium. Its description in RNAcentral is "partial 16S ribosomal RNA". It matches the Rfam family "Bacterial small subunit ribosomal RNA", at positions 524 to 776 of the family's 1533-position model. The record is from RNAcentral.
UACGUAGGGUGCGAGCGUUGUCCGGAAUUAUUGGGCGUAAAGAGCUUGUAGGCGGUUUGUCGCGUCUGCUAUGAAAAUCCAGAGCUCAACCCCGGACUUGCAAUAAAUAGGAACAAACUAGAGUGUAAUAGGGGAGACUGGAAUUCCUGGUGUAGCGGUGAAAUGCGCAGAUAUCAGGAGGAACACCGAUGGCGAAGGCAGGUCUCUGGGCCACUACUGACGCUGAGAAGCGAAAGCAUGGGGGGCGAACAGG